UGUGUAUGUAUGUAUACGUGCAUGUAUAUAUAUGUGUGUAUAUAUGUAUACAUACAUACACACAUACACACCACGGAAUACUACUCA
RNAcentral lists this microRNA precursor (87 nucleotides) under Chlorocebus sabaeus (green monkey). RNAcentral's name for it is "miRNA (ENSCSAG00000022143.1)". Lineage: Eukaryota; Metazoa; Chordata; Mammalia; Primates; Cercopithecidae. The record is from RNAcentral.